Molecule: small nucleolar RNA, 135 nt
Organism: Cynocephalus volans (Philippine flying lemur)
Lineage: Eukaryota; Metazoa; Chordata; Mammalia; Dermoptera; Cynocephalidae
Product: small nucleolar RNA U109
Exons: 1
Source: RefSeq, a predicted model, not a curated record
UUGCAUGUGGAAAUAUCUGCUCCUCAUUCCCUUGGGAGCAGGAGUACAUAUGUAACAUGCUACAUUAACAAAGGAGUUCUCAGGGCUGCCAACUUCACAGUAGAGGUUAAAUGGGAGUAUAUUUCUCUUAUAUAA